RNAcentral lists this ribosomal RNA (775 nucleotides) under uncultured Neocallimastigales. RNAcentral's name for it is "partial large subunit ribosomal RNA". It matches the Rfam family "Eukaryotic large subunit ribosomal RNA", at positions 24 to 631 of the family's 3401-position model. The record is from RNAcentral. Lineage: Eukaryota; Fungi; Neocallimastigomycota; Neocallimastigomycetes; Neocallimastigales.
UAUGUGAUCGUCUCUCAGCAUAUCAAUAAGCGGAGGAAAAGAAACUAACAAGGAUUCCCCUAGUAACAGCGAGUGAAGCGGGAAGAGCUCAAAUUUGAAAUCUUAAAGGGUUUCUCUUUACGAAUUGUAGUUUAAAGAAGUGUUUUCUGUUGAGGUUUUGGUAAAAGUUCUUUGGAAUAGGACAUCAUAGAGGGUGAGAAUCCCGUAUUUGACCUUUACUUUCAACUUUGUGAUACACUUUCAAAGAGUCGGAUUGUUUGGGAAUGCAGUCCAAAAUGGGUGGUAAAUUUCAUCUAAAGCUAAAUAUUGGCGAGAGACCGAUAGCGAACAAGUACCGUGAGGGAAAGAUGAAAAGAACUUUGAAAAGAGAGUUAAACAGUACGUGAAAUUGUCAAAAGGGAAGCGUUUGACACCAGUGUUGUUUUUCUGAAAAUCAAUUAAAGAACUGUUUAUGCUAAGUUGUUUAGACUUUAUCAGCUAACUGUUUAGUUUUGAGCUUUUCUUUAAUGCACUUUUCAGUUAACAAGUCAACAUCAAUUUCUUUUGCUGUAAAAAAGCUUGAGGAAGGUGGCUUGAGAUUCGUCUUAAGUGUUUAUAGCCUCUUGCCUAUGCAGUCGGAGAGAUUGAGGUCUGCAGCGUAGAUCCUUCGGGGCUAAAUGCAUUUGUGCUAAGUUAUAGCAUUUUAUAGACAACUUGUUGACUAUGAUUUGUCUUGUAGCUUACUCGCUUAUGUUAUUUUACCUACGCUUAGGAUGUUGAUCUACAGAGCGAGAGU